Molecule: unclassified non-coding RNA, 3622 nt
Filed under: Megachile rotundata (alfalfa leafcutting bee)
Lineage: Eukaryota; Metazoa; Arthropoda; Insecta; Hymenoptera; Megachilidae
Description: protein fem-1 homolog CG6966, transcript variant X2
Source: RNAcentral
CUAGUAGCUGUCAUUUACGAUGCACGGAAAAUUAGUAAUGCAUUCACAUUGUUUUAUUUGUUGGGUGACCGUCGUUAGUGCCCAAGAAUCUUCGUUUACGCCAUUUCUUAGACGUUGUUCGUUUUAAAAAAGGCAUUUCAUUCAGGAUUUUUUAAAAAUGAUAACAAGUGGUGCUUACAGAGAAAACGCAAAGUGUCUUUUUCUCCGAAUAUCAUUAGUGUGACGCCUUUCUCUUUAAUACAUAUUGUGUGUAUUGCGUUGUUAUUGCGAAAAUGUCAGUUCAUUUCGCUAUAUAUGCAAUCACCAUAUUGUGAACUGUAAUGAUCAACUUUAGUUAGCCUAUUGAAGUCAGAUGUUAAAUAUGUAUACUUCUCAAAGAAAACUGAGUAUAGUAUCCCAUGAUCUUAUAGAACAAUGCAAAUAUGUUGCACCUGCAGCACACUUAACGCUUGCAUUAAGAAGUUGGAUAGAAAAGCAGAAAAUAAAAGUCAGAAAAGAAAUUGUAUCUCGGGUCGAAGGUGGCUGUGCUCCUUUGUUCAUUGCAUGUAAAAGAGGGCACGUAAAAAUCGUGGAAUAUCUUAUAACAGUAUGUCAUGCAGAUAUUGAACAAAGAGGAAGAUAUGAAGUACCUAGCGAUCAAUCUGUACAUUGUGCAACGCCAUUAUGGUGUGCGGCUGUUUCUGGAAAACUUUCAGUAAUUAAGUGUCUAAUAUCUCAUGGAGCUGACAUUAAUGCAGUUUCAGAUUCUGGUUCGACUCCUUUGAGAUCAGCUUGUUUCAUGACUCACAUGGUUCUAUUGAUUUUAGAUGUCAUUUCAUAUUUGGUAGAAAAUGGUGCUGAUAUACUUAAAGCCAAUUACAAUGGUGGAACAUGCUUAAUAAAUUCCGUUCAAAGCGUAGAGUUAUGUACGUUUCUCUUAAACCAUGGUGCUGACGUAAAUGCAACAGAUAUUCAAAAUAAGACUGCUUUACAUUAUGCUAUUCAAGAACACAGGCUUGAAACUACCAAACUUUUUCUUGAACAUAAUGCAGAUCCUCAUCUUAGAUCUCGAUAUAAUGAUGAUGCCCUUCAAACUGCUUGUUUAAAAGGGACUAUUGAAAUUUUUGACUAUUUAGUGGAAAAGGUAUCUUAUUCUCCUGAAAGAUUAGCAGAUGCAAAUGAAUUAAUGGGAUCUACAUGUUUUGACGAUAAUCAUGACAUACAAAGGGCAUUAAAAUAUUGGCGCGCUGCAAUAGAAAUUAGAAAUAACAAUGCAAUAUUUGGUGUUCCUUUACCAAAAAGGCCUGUGCUACCUAAACGUGAUAUAUAUAAAAAUGCAACCGAAUUCACAACAUUAGAGGAACUUAAUGCAAUUGCACUUGAUUUAGAUGCCAUGAGAAUACAAAGUUUAUUAAUAUGUGAGAGAAUUCUAGGUCCACACCACAAAGAUACUUUAUUGCGAUUAAUGUUCAGAGGUGCUGCGUACGCGGAGGCCUUCAGAUAUCAGAAUUGUAUAGAUUUAUGGCAUAGAGCACUGGAAAUUCGGGUGGAAAAAGAUACGAUUUUACACGCCGAUACAUGUUUCACUGCUCAAGCUUUACUAAGGCUUAUGGUCGAAUCGAAUGAGAAUCGAGAUAAGGAAGAACCGAGGUUUUGCGAUGUAGUAGCAAUAUUUAAAUUACUAUCCAGUCAAUUAACAGAAACCAAAGAAUUGUUGGAGAAACGACCAGUGUAUAAGCGACAGCUGGAUAAUUAUGAGCGAAUUUUAAAAGGCGUGACGCAUCUUAUUUACUUGUUAGUAGAAACAGGAACUUCGGAUGAUCAGAAGGCGCUAACUAAGCAACUAGUUUAUGAUUUAGUUAAACAGAAUCCUAGAUCUGCAUGUAAGGAAGAUACUCUUCUGCAUCUUUGUGUUUCAAAAAUGAAUACCAUCAGUUCUACUUAUUUUGCUACUGAUAGCACACAUACAAUUUUCCCACAUUUAGAAGUCGUCAAAUUACUUUUAGAAUGUGGAGCAAAUGUCAACGCAAGGAACGAAUGGCGGUCAACGCCUUUGCAUAUAGCAAGCAAGCCAUUUAAUUUCCAGAAUGCACUAAUAAAAUUAUUAUUGGACUAUGAUGCUCAUUUAGACACGCCAAACAGAACAGGAGAGACUCCAGUACGGUUGAUAUCUUCAAAUGUAACGAAUAGGGUGAAUCUUGUAAACUAUAUUAGUCUUAGAUGUUGUGCGGCUCAAGCUAUUCAGAAAUACGGUAUUCGCUGUAGAAGACGUAUAGAUUUGCCAGAUACACUUUUUCAGUUUUUAGAACUUCAUAAAGAAUAAUGAAUAACCAGCAAAAAAUUCUACGUUAAUAAUAUUUCUUUCCUUUAUUAUUUAUAGAACUAAAUUUAGUUAUAGGAAAUGCAUCAACGUUCACAAUGCAAAUACGUGUACAUAAUAUAAUAUUUUUUCAAAGUUGUAAUGAAUAUGAGGAUGCGUUGAGUGCCCUACAAAUUAAAAGGAAAAAAAAUAUUUCAGAAAAGGAACACUCCUGUAUCGUCGACAACUAAAUCUCUCAUACUUUCGUAUGAUUGUAUGAACAAGUUAGAAUUUAUACAAUCUCAUUUUUAUUGAAAAAAGUAAUAUUUUUAAAGAAAAUAACGAUUACACAAAACAGUUAUUUUAAAAGGUGCGAGAAUGGUAAAGUAUCCAAUUCGGAAAGACUGGUUUAAAUAAAAGUGUUUUGAUAAGGUUUUUAUGUUGGAUACUAUAUUAUAAUUCGCUAUUUAAUUCGAUAUCGAUUUAUGUACUUGUACGUAAAUCAGUAGUUAGAAUAUCUUUUAACAUUACAUCACGUGUGAAUGGAUUGACAUUAUAUUUUAAGAGUAACAUUUAGUGAAAAGAAACAGAAUGAGAAUUAUUAAAUAAGCUUUUGCACUUUCCUUUUAUGAAAGAGAUCAUAUAUAAUAAAUAAUAAGGAUACAAAAUGUCAAAGAUCUGUGAAAAGAACAUGGCUAUUAAUUUGAAUGCCAAAGAUGUAUCAUACUCGAGCAUUGCCAUACGAUUACAAUAUACAUCAACAUAAAAUUGAAGAGCAAGAACAAAUAUAGUAUAAGAAUAUAACGCGAUUAUAUUUAUUAAAAAUACCUUCGAUAUGUUUUAUUACAAUUAUUUAUUCGUGGCAGAAAAGAAAUAUUAAAAUUGUCAUUCGAAUAAUAAUAUCUAUAAACGCGAAAUAUACAAAUACAUAUAUGCAUUAAAUAACAAGCCUUUCAUUUUCGUAACAAACCCACUUGUUUAUGGGAAAUAGCACAAAUUUUUUUAUGUCACGAAAAUGAAAUGUCUUAUGAUAUUUAUAAAUCUUGAGUUGAAUAUACAAUGGAAAUGUUACCUACUAAUAAUACAAAACAACAUUAAUAUCUUUAAAUAGCUAACAGAUCUUGACUUUUAUAUGUGCAUAUGGUUAAUUAUCAAUGCAACUAAAUAAAUAGAAUGUCGUGAAAUAUUCAUGAAACAGCUAAUGCGUGAAACAAAUGAUGAACUUCGCAUUCUGUACUAAUUGUAAUCAAAAUCUUGUCAGUUGAUAUUUAUAUAAGGAAAUCGUACGAAUGAUCUCAACAAAAUGUAUCUACUUUUAUAACAAAUGAAAAAACACAGCCAUCA